GUCAGGCGCCUGGCGGUGGUCUUCCUUUCUCUACGAAACGGCUACCAACUGCUGACCAGAAUUAUCCUUCACGAACAAUCCCACGGCUUUAAAUAAACAGAGCACUCAGUGCCUUCAAAGUGCAGCCCAUUCAUCUUUAAGAAUCUUGCUUCCCAUCUGACGUCACACAUUUCUCCUGCUUUUCAACUUCUUCCAGUCAUCAGGCUCUAUUCUGGAGUUGUAACUUGGCUGCAUCAACAUCCCCAAACACCAAUAGCAGCACCAAAAUGAACAGUGACUCAACCAAUGGCGUCCAUUUGGGGGCGGGACUAACGCCUUUUCAG
Molecule: non-coding RNA, 323 nt
Organism: Pimephales promelas (fathead minnow)
Lineage: Eukaryota; Metazoa; Chordata; Actinopteri; Cypriniformes; Leuciscidae
Source: RefSeq, a predicted model, not a curated record